Molecule: long non-coding RNA, 264 nt
Filed under: Lathyrus oleraceus (garden pea)
Lineage: Eukaryota; Viridiplantae; Streptophyta; Magnoliopsida; Fabales; Fabaceae
Description: Pisum sativum (pea) long non-coding RNA (PSAT_LNC027785)
Source: RNAcentral
UUAAUUCCACUACUGUCAUUAUGUCUUCAAGCCUCUCAUCUCCUGCUGUCGGAUGAAAGUGAUUGGCUUGUUCAGUCCCUUGAACUUGGUUGAAGCAGACAGAGAACGGGGCAUAGUCAUACGCUUUAAUCCCUAAUUUUUGCCUGGACCGCCUUUUCAGGUUUUCAGUCCACCGGGAUACCCUUUUUUUGCUCAAGCCGCCUUUUCAGGUUUUCGACUUGCCGGGUGUAUGUCUUUAUAUGUUUAUCCCUAAUUUUUUGCCCG